This 460-nucleotide ribosomal RNA is filed under the name uncultured bacterium. RNAcentral's name for it is "partial 16S ribosomal RNA". It matches the Rfam family "Bacterial small subunit ribosomal RNA", at positions 338 to 795 of the family's 1533-position model. The record is from RNAcentral.
CCUACGGGGGACAGCAGUGAGGAAUAUUGGUCAAUGGACGAGAGUCUGAACCAGCCAAGUAGCGUGAAGGAUGACUGCCCUAUGGGUUGUAAACUUCUUUUAUAUGGGAAUAAAAUGUUCCACGUGUGGGAUUUUGUAUGUACCAUAUGAAUAAGGAUCGGCUAACUCCGUGCCAGCAGCCGCGGUAAUACGGAGGAUCCGAGCGUUAUCCGGAUUUAUUGGGUUUAAAGGGAGCGUAGGUGGAUUGUUAAGUCAGUUGUGAAAGUUUGCGGCUCAACCGUAAAAUUGCAGUUGAAACUGGCAGUCUUGAGUACAGUAGAAGUGGGCGGAAUUCGUGGUGUAGCGGUGAAAUGCUUAGAUAUCACGAAGAACUCCGAUUGCGAAGGCAGUUCACUGGACUGAAACUGACACUGAGGCUCGAAAGUGUGGGUAUCAAACAGGAUUAGAUACCCCUGUAGUC